This 443-nucleotide ribosomal RNA is filed under the name uncultured bacterium. RNAcentral's name for it is "partial 16S ribosomal RNA". It matches the Rfam family "Bacterial small subunit ribosomal RNA", at positions 338 to 795 of the family's 1533-position model. The record is from RNAcentral.
CCUACGGGAGGCAGCAGUGGGGAAUAUUGGGCAAUGGGCGCAAGCCUGACCCAGCAACGCCGCGUGAAGGAAGAAGGCUUUCGGGUUGUAAACUUCUUUUCUCAGGGACGAAGAAAGUGACGGUACCUGAGGAAUAAGCCACGGCUAACUACGUGCCAGCAGCCGCGGUAAUACGUAGGUGGCAAGCGUUAUCCGGAUUGAUUGGGUGUAAAGGGCGUGUAGGCGGGAGGGCAAGUCAGAUGUGAAAACUCAGGGCUCAACCCCGAGCCUGCCUUUGAAACUGUGUGACUUGAGUGCUGGAGAGGAAGUCGGAAUGCCGGGUGUAGCGGUGAAAUGCGUAGAUAUACGGCGGAACACCAGUGGCGAAGGCAGAUUGCUGGACAGUAACUGACGCUGAGGCACGAAAGCGUGGGGAGCAAACAGGAUUAGAUACCCCUGUAGUC